RNAcentral lists this ribosomal RNA (504 nucleotides) under uncultured bacterium. RNAcentral's name for it is "partial 16S ribosomal RNA". It matches the Rfam family "Bacterial small subunit ribosomal RNA", at positions 28 to 523 of the family's 1533-position model. The record is from RNAcentral.
GAUAAACGCUAGCGGCAGGCUUAACACAUGCAAGUCGAGGGGCAGCAUAGAUUGUAGCAAUACAAUUGGUGGCGACCGGCGCACGGGUGCGUAACGCGUAUGCAACCUACCCGUCACAGGGGGAUAAUCCGGAGAAAUCUGGUCUAAUACCCCAUAACAUAUGGAUCGGCAUCGGUUCAUGUUGAAAUUUUCGGAGGUGACGGAUGGGCAUGCGUAGCAUUAGCUUGUUGGUGAGGUAACGGCUCACCAAGGCGACGAUGCUUAGGGGGACUGAGAGGUUUUCCCCCCAAGCUGGUACUGAGGCACGGACCAGACUCCUACGGGAAGCAGCAGUGAGGAAUAUUGGUCAAUGGGCGCAAGCCUGAACCAGCCAUGCCGCGUGCAGGAUGACGGCUCUAUGAGUUGUAAACUGCUUUUGUACGAGGGUAAAGUGGGUUACGUGUAACCUUUUGAAAGUAUCGUACGAAUAAGGAUCGGCUAACUCCGUGCCAGCCGCCGCCGUAA